AUUGAACGCUGGCGGCAGGCUUAACACAUGCAAGUCGAGCGAGCGGCGGACGGGUGAGUAAUGUCUGGGAAACUGCCUGAUGGAGGGGGAUAACUACUGGAAACGGUAGCUAAUACCGCAUACCAUCAGAUGUGCCCAGAUGGGAUUAGCUAGUAGGUGGGGUAAUGGCUCACCUAGGCGACGAUCCCUCGCUGGUCUGAGAGGAUGACCAGCCACACUGGAACUGAGACACGGUCCAGACUCUUACGGUAGGUAGAAGUGGGAAAUAUUGCCAACUGGGCGGAAUCAGGAUGCAGCCAUGCCGCGUGUGGGAAGAAGGCCUUCGGGUUGUAAAGCACUUUCAGCGAGGAGGCGUUACUCGCAGAAGAAGCACCGGCUAACUCCGUGCCAGCAGCCGCGGUAAUAC
RNAcentral lists this ribosomal RNA (406 nucleotides) under uncultured bacterium. Its description in RNAcentral is "partial 16S ribosomal RNA". It matches the Rfam family "Bacterial small subunit ribosomal RNA", at positions 30 to 526 of the family's 1533-position model. The record is from RNAcentral.